Molecule: long non-coding RNA, 248 nt
Filed under: Mytilus galloprovincialis (Mediterranean mussel)
Lineage: Eukaryota; Metazoa; Mollusca; Bivalvia; Mytilida; Mytilidae
Source: RNAcentral
CCCUUAUGCUGAUAUUCUGCCAUCUGGCUGCAGUUAAGAGUUGUCAAGGACCCAUUAUAAGGUGUCAAUCACAUAACUUUAAAAAUUUGGUUAUUUAAAGGGUUGAAAACAAAGAGGAUAAAAACAACUGUUUUGCUGUUUACGGGUACAGUAGCUGCAUGUGCAGAUAAAAAAUUAUCGAGUCGAUAUUUAUUGAUUAAACUCAGGUGAUACUUAAAUAAUGUUUAACUAGUUCUAUUUUACCAAAU